AGUGGGGAGGAGGAGGCAAACCCAGCCCGGGAGAGGGAAGGAUGCAGACAAGGUCUUGGGAUCAGCUGGCUGAGACGUGUCCACAGGGAAUUACAGGCAGGUCUGAGCCUGUCAGAUUACUGGAGCCAGGAAGGGGGGAGCGGGUUGAGGCAGGUCUGGCAGGCAGAGGGAUAGAGGAGCUGGAGGAAAAGAGAGGAACAGGGGGAAGGUGGGCAAAGAGGGGAGGGAGGCACAUGGGAAAGGGGUGAGCAGAGGGGGGCACCCAGCCCUGGUGGUGUGGGGCUGGUGGGGGCAGGAAGACAGACUGGGGGUGCCAUAGGGUGGAUGGGGUGGGAACGGGCUUGGUCCAUGACACGUCACCCCCAGCACCCACCUGGCCAAGGUGUGGGGCCAGGACCAGCCAGGGCAGCUGCACAUGCCAAAACCAAUUAAGUGCUCAGUGGGUCACAGACCAACUGCUGGGGUCCCUCCCGUCCGAGGUCAGGGGAGAGCGUCCUCAUUUGCUGCCUCUUAAUUACAUCUGAUCCUGCCUUAAAUCCUCCUAAAACCUUCCCUGAGAGCUUUCAGGUGGCUGCUGGGGAAAGGUGCCCAUGAGCCAGGGGUGACAGGCCAUCCAGGCACGGGUGGCAGCCCUGGGCUGAGCGGUGGCUCCGGGAGGGAUGUGAGGGGCUGUUGGCACUGCGUGGUGAUGGAGGAAGCGCCAUGUGCACCACAAUCCUGGUCCUCGGUCCACUGCUCCUCUUGCUGCGGCGCCGCUUCUGCAACAAAGUCGAACCGCACUCCGAGGGAGAGGAAGAGACCAGGACUGAGGCCAACUCUGACUCAAACACCACGUGACACCACUUGGGAGUAAAAGCCAGGAUUUCUAGGUCUUCCUGCCUACUGGUGAGCCUGUGAAGUCUCAAGAAAAGUGUCUUGCUCUAGGGAAAGGAAAGUAGAGCCUGGAGCUGCCAGAUUGGAAGGAAAAACCCCAUUUUUCCAAUUACUUUCAAUAGGAGCUCAGUUCCCAGCUCCUCCAUGCCCUGCAGGCAGCACCCAGCCCAUUCCAGCCUUGGCACACACCGAAACCCUCCGCAGACCAACCCAGGACACUGAACACUGAUGAACCCACAUCACCC
Molecule: long non-coding RNA, 1118 nt
Organism: Pseudopipra pipra
Lineage: Eukaryota; Metazoa; Chordata; Aves; Passeriformes; Pipridae
Exons: 4
Source: RefSeq, a predicted model, not a curated record